RNAcentral lists this ribosomal RNA (440 nucleotides) under uncultured bacterium. RNAcentral's name for it is "partial 16S ribosomal RNA". It matches the Rfam family "Bacterial small subunit ribosomal RNA", at positions 338 to 795 of the family's 1533-position model. The record is from RNAcentral.
CCUACGGGAGGCAGCAGUAGGGAAUAUUGCUCAAUGGGGGAAACCCUGAAGCAGCAACGCCGCGUGGAGGAUGAAGGUUUUCGGAUUGUAAACUCCUUUUGUUAGAGAAGAUAAUGACGGUAUCUAACGAAUAAGCACCGGCUAACUCCGUGCCAGCAGCCGCGGUAAUACGGAGGGUGCAAGCGUUACUCGGAAUCACUGGGCGUAAAGAGCGCGUAGGCGGGAUAGCAAGUCAGAUGUGAAAUCCUAUGGCUUAACCAUAGAACUGCAUUUGAAACUGUUAUUCUAGAGUAUGGGAGAGGUAGGUGGAAUUCUUGGUGUAGGGGUAAAAUGCGUAGAGAUCAAGAGGAAUACUGAUUGCGAAGGCGACCUGCUAGAACAUAACUGACGCUGAUGUGCGAAAGCGUGGGGAGCAAACAGGAUUAGAUACCCGAGUAGUC